AACCACAGAAAUAAACAUCAAUCAUACCAGAAUCACUUAGAGUUCUGGAUUUCUGCAAAAUGUACUACGAAAAGAAAACACGGAACUAUACAAAAAGGUAAGAGGCUUUGAUAUCACCUGUGAAUGAUUACUUGUGUCUGCACCCAUUUUGUGCAUUUCAAGUUCAGCUGUCAAUGAUAUUCCUUUUAGCUCCAUUUGCAUCCCCCGUUCCAAAAUGAAAAUGGCUUCAUACCAACAGUGUUUAAAUUGUACAGGUUUAUGGAACGCGGGAUGCAAAUGGAGCCAACAGAAACAAAAUAAAACAGCCACAAGAAGAAAAUCAUGAUGAUACACCAACACAAGGAACCACAAACCUAGGGUACAUUUAAUUAUUAUUCCCUCCGUCACAUCUAAUUUAUUAAACUACUUCUAAAGAGUUUCACGUUGGAUUGCUGCAGCAGACUACAGCUGCAUUAGCAAAGAGAUUGUCCGGGUGGAAAACUAAAUUGUACAGUGGCCCAUAUAUUACAGACUGAGCCUUUAGUGCAGUGGUAUAUGAGCUGCUGACUAUUGAAACGUCAAGGCUUUUCUUUUCCAUGAUAAUUUUUUUUAAACAAAAAUUACAUGUGUGGGAUUCAAGGAAAUAUUGCUACUUAUAUGAAGAUACUACUUAAUUGUAAUAAAGAGGACUGGCAUUGGGUUACGUUAUGAUGUGCUUUAAACGGUCAAAGUACUGUAAACUGACAAGAUAAAAAGCAUUCUAUUGAAGUUAUAUUUCAAAAUUAAAACAAAUUGUGGUAACAAGAGACAUGAACACGUCAAAAGUAGAUUCAUAUUUCACCAAGGGACACACAAGCAGCACAAUCAGAGAAGACUUACAAGAAAUCACAAACUUCAGCAGCAACAGCACCUUCUAGGCCAACUCAGCCUGCACAGAUUACAUGUAUAAAUUCACAGCACUUGUAAAUCAAACUUAGUUCGAAACAUCUUCUUUGAGGGAAAGGAAGCAAGCUCUAUACUAUGAGGCAACUUCGGACAGAUUAUCCUUAAGAAGAAGGCGAUACGUGUCAAACAAAAUUACUUCUAAGUAUCUUUUGACAAGGACCAAUUCAAGCAUCACUAGUGUCCCACAUCGUUCUCAUCUAUCGCAG
Molecule: long non-coding RNA, 1130 nt
Filed under: Linum usitatissimum (flax)
Lineage: Eukaryota; Viridiplantae; Streptophyta; Magnoliopsida; Malpighiales; Linaceae
Description: long non-coding RNA (LUSI_LNC005314)
Source: RNAcentral